CCUAGUUCAGAAAGGUCCAAGGCAGAUCACAGGGCUGGAAAAGGGAUGGAGCUGCUGGGUAGACACUCUGUGUAGACUCUGGGAUGAACUGGGAAUGGGAGCCAACGUCAAGCCCAAGCCAGGGAGCCUGGUGAAUGGCCUCCUUCGAUAGCUGAGGAAGCCUAAACCAUUCUUUUGUUGGCCACUGGGUGAGGGACACACAUGGGACUGUCAGACUUGGUUCAGGAAGUUGGCAGGUACAUUACCCUCCAGGAAGUCUCUCUGAUAACCCCAGAGGGUGAUGAUCUUGCCCUCCUGGGAUUCACUCUGCACUUGUACUUUCCCCUAUGAGGACAGGCAUGUGUCUCUCUGCCCCACCACACACAGGCCUAGUACGUUCCGCAAGGCUGGCCUGGUCUUGUCCCUUCUGUGGUCCUCUGGGUGUCCAGCUGAGGACCUGACCUGCCCUGGAGCACAGUGGGCAUUUCCUAAAUCAAAUGGACAAAUGGAUUGACUUGUCUCUUGCUAAGAGCGCCUACCUUCGGGGUGUGGAGGUAGAGACAGGAGAGAAGCUCAGGAUGCUGCUCAGAACAACCCAUGGCUCAGACUUCCCACCUGCAAGAUGAGCAGACGGGCAGAAGGGUCCUCUCCUUGUCUGCCACCCGCAUGGCGUGCUGUGAGGAGCCUGUGAGAACCUGCCCAUCACCAUGAGAAGUGCAACACCAACCUCAGGUGGAAGGUCUUAAGAGAAAACACUGAGGUCCCUCGAAGAUGAAGAAAUCCUCAUGAAGAUGAAUCCAAAGGUGGAUUCAAUUUCAGCUGUCUUUGGACUGAAGACUGCAACAUCAACACUUCCCAGGGUCUCCAGCCUGCCCGCCUCUCCCGCAAAUUUCAGAUUUGCAAGUAUCCACAGUCAUGAGCAAUUCCUUAAAGUAAAUAUUUCUCUGUUUCUUUCUGGAUAUGUAUAGGUUGUUUCUCUGGAGAAUCCUGAUUAAUACAUGAAGGGUCAAGAUAAGUCUACUCCAGGUGAAGUGCAAAAAAUGAACAAGGAGGCCCAAUGAUGCAUCUGCUUAACUUUUCAGUUGUCAAUGCAAAUUAAGCACAAAGAGGACAGAGUUGAUGACAUAUCAGGAACAUUUUUUACUUCCGGAGCAGGUCUGAGUCCCAGCGGAAGACUGAGGCCGACUGAGCCAGAGGCACCACUUCAAUAGGUCACUGGUCUCUGCAGGGAAAGGAAAAGGUGUAAGAGUUCUCCCUGCAUAGAUGCUAUUUGUGACUUGGAUGUUUUCUUUCUAAUACAAAUGCAUCAAAGUGUUCACAGGAAUCUAGCUAUAUGCAAGAAGUCUGGAUUAUCUGCCUGAGAGAACUGGCCAGUAUCUCACCCAUGAGCACCAGAACCCAUUUCUAGAUUACUAAGAAAGGAGCACAAGAACACUGUGUAUAAGGCUCUGUGUUCCUAGAACUUUCUAAAUUUUACUUAAUGCAGGUUAACUUCAUCAACCCUGGUGAAAAUGCCACCUCCUCAUGAGGAAGCCUUCCCCAUUUGCUCUGUCUCAGAGACACUUGACUCCAUGGACUUCUCUGCAAUUCUGUUCUGUGUAGGACUGCCUAGUGCCUAGCCUUCUUGUGAUGUUCCUUGCUUAUGUCUUGUCUCCCCAUUUGAUUUGGAGGGUCCUGGGCAGGGACCACUGGGCUGGGCUCUAGUAGGCCCCCUGUAAAGACCUGUUGAGUAAUUAGAAGAGACAGUGGCCCCAUCUGGGUGAAUCCUGAAUUUAAUCAAUUUCCUGGAUCCUUGUUUAUUUUGCAAGUAGGAUAAGAAUGUCAUUGAAAUCCUAUCAUGUAGUCAUGGAAGGGCUAAUACAGUCAGUGUACUGCUACUCACUAAGCAUGCUGUUUAGCUCAGCGGUUUUUUGUUUUGUUUUGAUAACAAGACUGUCUCGAUGAAAGAAGCAGGGCGUUGUUUAAUAUUCUAAUGCAGGCUCCUUAUUUCACGACAUACUGGUAGUUACACUUGGAGUCGCAGUGAAAUAAAACAUCUAGGCCAGCGCCGUGGCUCACGUCUGUAAUCCCAGCACUUUCGGAGGCUGAGGCAGGUGGAUCACUUGAGGUCAGGAGUUUGAACCAGUUUGGCCAACAUGGUGAAACCCUGUCUUUACUAAAAAUACAAAAAUUAGCCUGGCGUGGUGAUGCAUGCCUGUAGUCCCAGGUACCUGCGAGGCUGAGGCAGGAGAAUCGCUUGAACCUGGAAGGUGGAGAUUGCAGUGAGCCAAGAUGGCACCACUGCACUCCAGCCUGGGUGACAGAGCAAGACUCUGUCUCAAAAAAAUUAAAGAAAAUAGAAAUAAAACAUAUAGCCUCACCCUCUUCAUUUGACAGAUGUGGGCUUUGAGGCUGAUAGAGAGGUAACUUGUCCAUGAUUAGACAGCAAGAAAUAGAGCUGCAGUUGGUACCAGGGCCUCAUAACACUGGGUCUAUAAUCACAAUGAAGCACCACCAGUGUCAAUGCAUGUAAAUUUCACACCCCUUAUCACACUGCAUCUACAAAGUAGUGCUGAGAACUGGGCAUGGCAGGCAUUAGUCUCUCCACGAGGAAACAGGCUCAGAGACUCUGAAGAUCCGUCCAAAUGCAUAGAGUGGGGAAGCAGUGAAAAGACGACGUUAGGACAUCCCAGCCCUGCCCACGUUCAGAGUUUGUUCCAACACAUUAGUCUUCAGAUGAGCUCACUAUUUUAGUCCUGCGUGCUCCAGCAAUGGCCUGAGAGGUGUGGGUACGUGCUGAAUGUCCAGGCCUUGUUAAAGAUAACUGCAGUACGGGCCAGGCGUGGUGGCUCGCGCCUGUAAUCCCAGCACUUUGGGAGGCCGAGGAGGAUGGAUCACGAGGUCAGGAGUU
Molecule: long non-coding RNA, 2869 nt
Filed under: Homo sapiens (human)
Lineage: Eukaryota; Metazoa; Chordata; Mammalia; Primates; Hominidae
Description: HSALNT0027945
Source: RNAcentral